This 87-nucleotide non-coding RNA is filed under the name Pteruthius melanotis. RNAcentral also lists the same sequence under 2 other names. The record is from RNAcentral. Lineage: Eukaryota; Metazoa; Chordata; Aves; Passeriformes; Timaliidae.
CUUUAUGGCGGCCGUGCGCAGGGCACCUUCGGGUGCGCCGGGUUCCUAGUACACCGGUCUGCUAACCUGCGAACGGCCGCCACCCUA